Molecule: transfer RNA, 76 nt
Filed under: Sciaphyes sibiricus
Lineage: Eukaryota; Metazoa; Arthropoda; Insecta; Coleoptera; Leiodidae
Description: transfer RNA Leu
Source: RNAcentral
UUAUAUUAAUUUAUUAUUUUGGCAGAUUAGUGCAUUAAAUUUAGAAUUUAAUUAUGUAUGGUAUAUACAGGUAAUA